UACGGGGGGGGCAAGCGUUGUUCGGAAUUACUGGGCGUAAAGGGUUCGUAGGUGGCUUGCUAAGUCAGACGUGAAAUCCCUCAGCUUAACUGGGGAACUGCGUCUGAUACUGUCGGGCUAGAGUGCGGAAGAGGCGAGUGGAAUUCCUGGUGUAGCGGUGAAAUGCGCAGAUAUCAGGAGGAACACCAAUUGCGAAGGCAGCUCGCUGGGACGUUACUGACGCUGAGACGCGAAAGCGUGGGGAGCAAACAGG
Molecule: ribosomal RNA, 253 nt
Filed under: uncultured bacterium
Lineage: Bacteria
Description: partial 16S ribosomal RNA
Rfam family: Bacterial small subunit ribosomal RNA
Source: RNAcentral